GAUGAAGAACGUAGCGAAAUGCGAUAAGUAAUGUGAAUUGCAGAAUUCAGUGAAUCAUCGAAUCUUUGAACGCACAUUGCGCCCGCCAGUAUUCUGGCGGGCAUGCCUGUCUGAGCGUCAUUUCAACCCUCAUGCCCCUAGGGCGUGGUGUUGGGGAUCGGCCAAAGCCCGCGAGGGACGGCCGGCCCCUAAAUCUAGUGGCGGACCCGUCGUGGCCUCCUCUGCGAAGUAGUGAUAUUCCGCAUCGGAGAGCGAUGAGCCCCUGCCGUUAAACCCCCAACUUUCCAAGGUUGACUUCAGAUCAGGUAGGAAUACCCGCUGAACUUAAGCAUAUCAAUAAGCGGAGGA
This 348-nucleotide unclassified non-coding RNA is filed under the name soil metagenome. Its description in RNAcentral is "partial contains 5.8S ribosomal RNA, internal transcribed spacer 2, and large subunit ribosomal RNA". The stretch from base 1 to 120 matches the Rfam family "5.8S ribosomal RNA", at positions 35 to 154 of the family's 154-position model. The record is from RNAcentral.